This 254-nucleotide ribosomal RNA is filed under the name uncultured bacterium. Its description in RNAcentral is "partial 16S ribosomal RNA". It matches the Rfam family "Bacterial small subunit ribosomal RNA", at positions 524 to 776 of the family's 1533-position model. The record is from RNAcentral.
UACGUAGGGAGCAAGCGUUGUCCGGAUUUAUUGGGCGUAAAGCGCGCGUAGGCGGUUCGGUAAGUCGGGUGUGAAAACUCCAAGCUCAACUUGGAGCCUGCAUUCGAAACUGCUGUGACUAGAGUCAGGUAGGGGAACACGGAAUUCCAGGUGUAGCGGUGAAAUGCUUAGAUAUCUGGAGGAACACCAGUGGCGAAGGCGGUGUUCUGGGCCUGUACUGACGCUGAUGCGCGAAAGCGUGGGGAGCGAACAGG